GAGUGAAAGCUAUACAAUAAGAUCCAAAUAAGUCUUGAUCUAGGAACAAUACAAGUAGACAGACAAUAAGCAUUGCCAUUGUGACAAAAAAAAAACAAAAAAACAAAAAAAAAAAAGCAAAAGCAAACCAUUUUACAUAUCUGAAGACGUGCAAAUAAUUUCCAAUCACAUACCGAAAGAAGUUGAAACAAUCCUAACUUAUGUUUUCUUUUUCUCUCUCUUUAAUUGCUUUUGAAUCAUUAGGUAUGGUUUAGAAAACAUAAGGAGAUGAAGAUAUGUGUCGGUCACUAGCCAUGAACAUUAGGGACGCAACUAAAGCACUGCAUCAGCAUUAAGCACCAUACCAUAGAUAAACAAAGACAUAUGGUGCAUGCAUGCCUUUGUUUCAUCUCCUUACCAAUUUACCUUUAACGUUCUAACUUCUAAGAACUGCAACAUGCUGAUAGUUUGUGCCUGAAAAUUCAAGAUAGAAGAGAUAGUAGGUCGUGUUGCGAUCAAAACACUCAUCAUACACGACAAUGUAUAUAUACUGAUGUUGGGAAUCUACAAUGUAUCUAUAGCUAGGUAUAUGAAUUUAUGAUUAGGGUAAUGUAUGGACUAAUAUUUGCUCAGGUUCCUCAAAUUAAUCCAUGGAAACAGAGUAUUUUAGCUUUCUAUCGGACAACACAUAUAAGUAACUUACGGAAAACAGUGUUCGUGUUAGUGUUCCUAUACAGUAUACUACACUUGAUUCCAUAUUCACCUGUAAGAACUUGGCCCUUGGAGUUUGGCGCAGCCUGGAGAGGACACACGAAGGGACUGCUUACAAAAAAAAUAAAAACAAAAAUCACGUGAAAAAUAAGGAGGAAAGUUAAAAAUAUUACACAAUGGAGGGAGAAGGUAGAGAUCAGAUAUAUACUCUUAUUAUGCUUGUAAUCAAACCAGCCUUGUUCGGUUGUUCCCCACUAGAAUCUUGUUGACAGUGUCAUAUAAGUGUGCUUGGGAUCUGAUUCCUGGUGUCUAAUCAUACUUGGUAGAUUAAUAAACUGAAAUCGAACUCAAUCAAAAUGUGAUUUAAGAGUACUAUAAGAUAAUAUAUCUACUAUUGAAAGAUGAUUUUAUCUGUAAAAUGCCUCAUGAUUC
This 1122-nucleotide long non-coding RNA is filed under the name Capsella rubella. Its description in RNAcentral is "long non-coding RNA (CRUB_LNC003353)". Lineage: Eukaryota; Viridiplantae; Streptophyta; Magnoliopsida; Brassicales; Brassicaceae. The record is from RNAcentral.